GACGAACGCUGGCGGCGUGCUUAACACAUGCAAGUCGAACGGAAAGGCCCUGCUUUUGUGGGGUGCUCGAGUGGCGAACGGGUGAGUAACACGUGAGUAACCUGCCCUUGACUUUGGGAUAACUUCAGGAAACUGGGGCUAAUACCGGAUAGGAGCUCCUGCUGCAUGGUGGGGGUUGGAAAGUUUCGGCGGUUGGGGAUGGACUCGCGGCUUAUCAGCUUGUUGGUGGGGUAGUGGCUUACCAAGGCUUUGACGGGUAGCCGGCCUGAGAGGGUGACCGGCCACAGUGGGACGGAGAUACGGCCCAGACUCCGAGGGGAGGCAGCAGGGGGGAAGAUGGCACAAUGGGCGGAAGCCUGAUGCAGCAACGCCGCGGGCGGGAGGACGGCCUUCGGGUUGUAAACCGCUUUCGCCUGUGACGAAGCGUGAGUGACGGUAAUGGGUAAAGAAGCACCGGCUAGCUACGUG
This 468-nucleotide ribosomal RNA is filed under the name uncultured bacterium. Its description in RNAcentral is "partial 16S ribosomal RNA". It matches the Rfam family "Bacterial small subunit ribosomal RNA", at positions 28 to 507 of the family's 1533-position model. The record is from RNAcentral.